GUGGUACAGAGGCAAUGUGGGAGCCAACCACAAUGAGAGGUGAACACAUCACAAAAUAAUGCUUGAAUCAGGCCUGAGAGACUCCUAUCGAUUUCUAUAUUUUUCCUGGAGUCAUCAUCUUAGUCAUUUCAUAUUUUCGGAAAUUUUACAAUAUGACACAUCUUCCAUCCUAUGAUAUGUUACAGAUGACUUUUUUUUUUUAAAAAAAAGAAUUAGAUAGUUACAUACUCCUCAAAACAUGUUCCUCUCAAAAACUGUUAUGCAGACCACAAGAUGGCACCAAAGGAUUUAAAAUCAUAAACCUUGAAGGAGGAAGCAAGAAAGAAACCUUGAUGGGAAUUUCAUCAGGAAACUCUACUGUUCACCUUCAGGUGGGUCAAUACAUUAUUAACAUAACCCUGCCUGCUCUGACAUGCCACUAUAAUGCCUAAUUUAGAUUCAUUUAACAUGCUUAAUGUUUCCCUUUUGUGUGUGUGUUCAGAGAAACAGUAAGACUGUAUGUAUGGGAAAUGGUCGACUUCAGGGAGAGGUUUCAAGGGUAGCCAAAGAAUGAAUCAUUAGCAUGACUUAAAGGUAAGUGACUUUUGAAGAAAGGAUUGAUUUAAAUGAGAAUUUAGCUAGUCUUGUUAUCCUACGACAAGACGCAGAAAAGGACAAAUUGCAAUUUCUAUAACCCAGCGAUAAUGUAAAUUGUCUCAUUUACACACAUACACACUCACACAUUACAGCAAUAUCCUCCUUCCUUGGAACUGCAUCACAAUCCCUACAAUAUUUUGGUGAAUAAAGGGUUAGGUAUCCAUAGCAAUGUUAAGCAAAAUUAGUUCUAAUACAUUAAAAAGAAAACCGGCUUGCACAUAAACAGGAGCUCCUUGUCAUUGGAUCUGGGCUUUGAAAAGUACAAGGCAAUGGGGGGGGGGGAAUUGUUUAAGAACAACUUUCUGUUGUAAACAUAAGGCUUUCACAUCUCGAUACACCCUGUUUUAUGGUAUUCCUAGGCCUGCAAAAACAUGAAGGGUUUCAAGCAUCUGGCUGCACCACAAACAUAAUUUAAGGCGACAGACAAAUACAAUUUUGUAAUUUUAUCCACAUGAUCUUUCGUCUUCUCCUUCUCUUCUAUCCAAUUUAAACCGGCUCUGGCAUUCUGAUCUCUGUUACUCAAAGCACAGACUUCUGAAUUAGUGUGAAUAUGUAUAGGUAGCAAACCUUUAAUAGGAUUAUUUCUACAGUACUUCAGAUCAUCAUUCAGUUUUCAAUUCUUAUUUCUCAGGGCUCUGCAGAAAAGUCUCUCUGUGAGUGUAGAGGCAGGCACUCCUUAAGAGAAAUAUAUGCAUAAAUCAUUCUCCUUUGAACCAGCGUAUUCGUAAAAGCAGAAAAAGAUUCAAGGUUGUAAUCCUACACAGAAAAUUAGAUGCAAAGGUACUGUCAGAAGCUUUUGCACUGGGUCUCAAAUCUUAUGUGUCUUCUCUUCCUUUUUUAAAAAAAAGUAAAACUUUUACUAUUUACAAUGUUGCUAUACAUGCUAAAGAACAUAGUUUUGGCGAGACUCCCAGAUACCCA
RNAcentral lists this long non-coding RNA (1557 nucleotides) under Podarcis lilfordi (Lilford's wall lizard). Lineage: Eukaryota; Metazoa; Chordata; Lepidosauria; Squamata; Lacertidae. The record is from RNAcentral.